Molecule: transfer RNA, 73 nt
Filed under: Stegodyphus mimosarum
Lineage: Eukaryota; Metazoa; Arthropoda; Arachnida; Araneae; Eresidae
Rfam family: tRNA
About the family: Transfer RNA (tRNA) molecules are approximately 80 nucleotides in length. Their secondary structure includes four short double-helical elements and three loops (D, anti-codon, and T loops).
Source: Rfam by way of RNAcentral
GCCUUCGUGGUGUAAUGGUCAGAAUGCUCGACACGUAACGGACAGGUCCGUGGUUCGAUUCCCGGCGAGGGCA